AAGGUGGAGCGAUCUGCCGCGGCCGUAAGGCUGAGGAAAGUCCGGACAGGAAAGGGCGCCCCGCUGCGGAAAUCGCAGAUGGGAGUAAUCUUCUGCAAGCCGUAACAGAAAACGACCGCCAUUUUUGAAGGGAGGCUCCGGCCUCCAACCAACGGUGGCAAGGGUGAAAACGCGAGGCAAGAGCUCACGACGCCGGGUGGUGACAUCCGACGGGUACGGCACCGGGGCCUGCAAGACCAAAUAUACUGGCAGAUGAGGGCUGCCCGCCCGAUGCCAGGGGGUAGGUUGCGAAGAUAAAUGGCAGAUUCAAAAACAGAAACCGGCUUACGGCUCCACCUUUUAU
This 343-nucleotide RNase P RNA is filed under the name Bacteroidia bacterium. RNAcentral's name for it is "RNase P RNA component class A". It matches the Rfam family "Bacterial RNase P class A". Rfam says of the family: Ribonuclease P (RNase P) is a ubiquitous endoribonuclease, found in archaea, bacteria and eukarya as well as chloroplasts and mitochondria. Its best characterised activity is the generation of mature 5'-ends of tRNAs by cleaving the 5'-leader elements of precursor-tRNAs. Cellular RNase Ps are ribonucleoproteins. The record is from RNAcentral. Lineage: Bacteria; Pseudomonadati; Bacteroidota; Bacteroidia.